This 497-nucleotide ribosomal RNA is filed under the name uncultured bacterium. RNAcentral's name for it is "partial 16S ribosomal RNA". It matches the Rfam family "Bacterial small subunit ribosomal RNA", at positions 28 to 507 of the family's 1533-position model. The record is from RNAcentral.
GAUGAACGCUGGCGGCGUGCCUAAUACAUGCAAGUCGAGCGAACAGACGAGGAGCUUGCUCCUUUGACGUUAGCGGCGGACGGGUGAGUAACACGUAGGUAACCUACCUAUAAGACUGGGAUAACUUCGGGAAACCGGAGCUAAUACCGGAUAAUAUUUCGAACCGCAUGGUUCGAUAGUGAAAGAUGGCUUUGCUAUCACUUAUAGAUGGACCUGCGCCGGAUUAGCUAGUUGGUAAGGUAACGGCUUACCAAGGCAACGAUCCGUAGCCGACCUGAGAGGGUGAUCGGCCACACUGGAACUGAGACACGGUCCAGACUCCUACGGGAGGCAGCAGUAGGGAAUCUUCCGCAAUGGGCGAAAGCCUGACGGAGCAACGCCGCGUGAGUGAUGAAGGUCUUCGGAUCGUAAAACUCUGUUAUUAGGGAAGAACAAACGUGUAAGUAACUGUGCACGUCUUGACGGUACCUAAUCAGAAAGCCACGGCUAACUACGUG